AGAUGGUGGCUGUCUGAUCCCUUCAGUGAUUGCCUCCUGACAGUUGCCAACCUCCAAACAUGGGGUCGGGGGAAAGGAGUUAUCUUUGAAGCUAUUUCUUUAGCUAUAUUUUUUAAACAAUUGGUUGUGUCUGGACCAAGGAACAGUUGCAUUUGGAAAACUUUAAAAACAUCCUUCAGGAAAAAAGGAAGAUGAGAAUCUCUUAUCUGUCACAGGAUGCAGAAAAGAGCCAAAUUCAGAGAGCCCAGGAUGCUUGAGGAAGUGUUGGCACCAAGCCACAACUGCGUUAAGUGUCGCUGUGAGACCUUGAGUUUCUUGGAAUUGGGACUACAGUGGGGACUUCUUUGGCUUGCAGAUGCCUCUCUUUGACACCUUCGUGUCUUAUGUGCCUUACACCAUCAGUUGUCCCACAGUUUACAAGCAGACAGUUGAGGCUCAGGCUAGUUAAAAGAUCUAAAAUGUUAGAGGCUACAUAUUACCCCAUGUGCUGUCCACACCACCUCAGACAGGACCAGCUGCUUUUAUUGACUUUCCUUCCCCAGCACAUCAGGUCCACCCAUCUGGCCGGGUAGUACCUUCUUCAAGAGAAAUGGAGCCCUUCUGCAAGAUCCUGACAUUGAUGCUGCCAGUGCCAUGAUGCUUUUGAAUUCUCCCCCUGAGAUACAAGCAGUUUCUCCAGGAGUGAUACAAAAUGGAGCGAGGGUUCUGAGCCGAGGGCUGUUUCCUGGUGCCCGCCCGUUGCCAAUCACUCCCAUUGGGAUGACGGCAGCCAUA
Molecule: long non-coding RNA, 774 nt
Filed under: Rattus norvegicus (Norway rat)
Lineage: Eukaryota; Metazoa; Chordata; Mammalia; Rodentia; Muridae
Description: long non-coding RNA NONRATT025269
Source: RNAcentral